RNAcentral lists this ribosomal RNA (901 nucleotides) under Dicephalospora rufocornea. RNAcentral's name for it is "partial large subunit ribosomal RNA". It matches the Rfam family "Eukaryotic large subunit ribosomal RNA", at positions 56 to 977 of the family's 3401-position model. The record is from RNAcentral. Lineage: Eukaryota; Fungi; Ascomycota; Leotiomycetes; Helotiales; Helotiaceae.
AAGAACCAACAGGGAUUACCUCAGUAACGGCGAGUGAAGCGGUAACAGCUCAAAUUUGAAAUCUGGCCCUUUUAGGGUCCGAGUUGUAAUUUGUAGAAGAUGCUUUGGGUGUGGCUCCGGUCUAAGUUCCUUGGAACAGGACGUCAUAGAGGGUGAGAAUCCCGUAUGUGACUGGCGGCCUUCGCCCGUGUAAAGCUCUUUCGACGAGUCGAGUUGUUUGGGAAUGCAGCUCUAAAUGGGAGGUAUAUUUCUUCUAAAGCUAAAUACUGGCCAGAGACCGAUAGCGCACAAGUAGAGUGAUCGAAAGAUGAAAAGCACUUUGGAAAGAGAGUUAAACAGUACGUGAAAUUGUUGAAAGGGAAGCGCUUGCAACCAGACUUGCAUGCCGUCGAUCAUCGUGGGUUCUCCCGCGUGCACUCGGCGGCGUUCAGGCCAGCAUCGGUUCCGGUGGUUGGAUAAAGGCCUUGGGAAUGUGGCUCCUCUCGGGGAGUGUUAUAGCCCUCGGUGCAAUGCAGCCUACUGGGACCGAGGACCGCGCUUCGGCUAGGAUGCUGGCGUAAUGGUUGUAAGCGACCCGUCUUGAAACACGGACCAAGGAGUCUAACAUCUAUGCGAGUGUUAGGGUGUUAAACCCUUCCGCGAAAUUAACGUGAACGGAGGUACGAACCCUUUAGGGCGCAGUAUCGACCGGUCCUGAUGUCUUCGGAUGGAUCUGAGUAAGAGCAUAGCUGUUGGGACCCGAAAGAUGGUGAACUAUGCCUGAAUAGGGUGAAGCCAGAGGAAACUCUGGUGGAGGCUCGCAGCGGUUCUGACGUGCAAAUCGAUCGUCAAAUUAGGGCAUAGGGGCGAAAGACUAAUCGAACCAUCUAGUAGCUGGUUCCUGCCGAAGUCACCCUCCAGG